Molecule: ribosomal RNA, 616 nt
Filed under: uncultured Bacteroidota bacterium
Lineage: Bacteria; Pseudomonadati; Bacteroidota
Description: bacterial SSU rRNA
Rfam family: Bacterial small subunit ribosomal RNA
Source: RNAcentral
AGUACGUUGGCAACAAUGAAACUCAAAGGAAUUGACGGGGGCCCGCACAAGCGGAGGAACAUGUGGUUUAAUUCGAUGAUACGCGAGGAACCUUACCUGGGCUUAAAUGCAUUUUGACCGAUCCGGAAACGGAUCUUCCCUUCGGGGCAAAUUACAAGGUGCUGCAUGGUUGUCGUCAGCUCGUGCCGUGAGGUGUCGGGUUAAGUCCCAUAACGAGCGCAACCCCUAUCGUUAGUUGCUAGCAGGUAAAGCUGAGGACUCUAGCGAGACUGCCACCGUAAGGUGAGAGGAAGGUGGGGAUGACGUCAAAUCAGCACGGCCCUUACGUCCAGGGCUACACACGUGUUACAAUGGCUAGUACAAAGGGCAGCUACCUGGUGACAGGAUGCUAAUCUCAAAAGCUAGUCUCAGUUCGGAUCGGAGUCCGCAACUCGACUCCGUGAAGUUGGAUUCGCUAGUAAUCGUAUAUCAGCAAUGAUACGGUGAAUACGUUCCCGGGCCUUGUACACACCGCCCGUCAAGCCAUGGAAGCCGAGGGGACCUGAAGUUCGUAACCGCAAGGAGCGACCUAGGGUAAAAUUGGUAACUGGGGCUAAGUCGUAACAAGGUAACCGUA